RNAcentral lists this ribosomal RNA (286 nucleotides) under uncultured bacterium. RNAcentral describes it as "partial 16S ribosomal RNA". It matches the Rfam family "Bacterial small subunit ribosomal RNA", at positions 30 to 313 of the family's 1533-position model. The record is from RNAcentral.
AUUGAACGCUGGCGGCAGGCCUAACACAUGCAAGUCGGGCGGUAACAGGGAUAGCUUGCUUUCUGCUGACGAGCGGCGGACGGGUGAGUAAUGCAUAGGAAUCUGCCUGGUAGUGGGGGAUAGCCCAGAGAAAUUUGGAUUAAUACCGCAUACGCCCUACGGGGGAAAGCUGGGGACCUUCGGGCCUAGCGCUAUCAGAUGAGCCUAUGUCGGAUUAGCUUGUUGGUGAGGUAACGGCUCACCAAGGCGACGAUCCGUAGCUGGUCUGAGAGGAGAUCAGCCACAC